RNAcentral lists this long non-coding RNA (802 nucleotides) under Homo sapiens (human). RNAcentral describes it as "TTC28 antisense RNA 1 (ENSG00000235954.10)". The stretch from base 610 to 790 matches the Rfam family "TTC28 antisense RNA 1 conserved region 3". The record is from RNAcentral. Lineage: Eukaryota; Metazoa; Chordata; Mammalia; Primates; Hominidae.
UAGUCAAGCACCCAGCUUCACCCUGGGGUUGGCCGCACAGCUUCAUCGGGGCCACAGCUGCUGAUGACAAUGGCAGUAGUGGCCAGUGUCUGCCGGCACGACCUCCCAUCAUCCCGGGAAGGGGCAGCGCCAGUGGGGCGCAGAUGCCUGCCAUCACAGAUGGAAACAGCAGGUAAAUGGCACUUGUUUCCUCCAGGUGUGGAGAUGCUUGUAUCUGGGACCCCCUGCCAUUUCUCAGGACACCCUCCUGCUCCUAGCUGGGAGAUCCAGCAUCCUCAUGAAUGCGGGGCCCAAGGCCACCAACUGUUCCACCUGCUGUCAGCCAGGCCUGUUGCCCCAGCCCUACACCCACAGCUCACCCAGCAGGGACUGGAGUGUGCUGCUGCACUGCUGGAGCCGGUCGCCCGGGUCGGAGGUUGGGAAGAAGACAGCCGCUGGCAGGCCACUGGUUGGGGGGUCCAGCCGGAAGCCCACAGCGGUGAGGAGGGCCUGCCAGCCAGGGAUGCCGCCCACUUUGUUCUCCACACUCUGCUGGGAUGUGUACAUGGCAUUGCGCUGCCCAUUCUGGAUGCGCUGCAGGGAUUUCUCCACCUGAGGGGGAAUUGGGGUAAACACUGGGAUGCCGGAGCUCAGGCAUCCCAGACAGGAGGAAGUGUGUACUCACACCAGCCAGGAGGAAACAAGCCUGCCUGGGAGGACAGACGAUCAGCCCUGGCUGUCCCUCAGGAGCGGGGGGCCUCCAAGGCACACUGCCCACUGGGUCAAGGAGUAUCCAGGAGGAGUUAGAAGCAUGACCCAUCUG